Long non-coding RNA from Globicephala melas (long-finned pilot whale), 742 nucleotides. RefSeq lists it as uncharacterized. The record is from RefSeq and is a predicted model, not a curated record. Lineage: Eukaryota; Metazoa; Chordata; Mammalia; Artiodactyla; Delphinidae.
AUCUGGGAGGAGAGCCUUCUUGAGUGGCAGACUCACAUUUGCCAAGCCCAGAGACUAGGACUGACCUUCACGAUUUCAGUUGAUUGAUUUAUAACAAGAAACAUGAAUGUUGAAAAGACUAGUCACUCAUAUCCCCUGGACAGUGCUUUCUCCCACAGGGACCCAUAUCAUGACCAGAGGAGCAGAGUUCAGUUUUUGAUUUGGAGGUUAAGGGCAUCCAUCCAGCCAUUCACCUGAUGGAGGUCCACUUACUGUGUUCCAGUUAUUAACUCAUUCAGUCCUUCCAGCAUCAGUGAGAAAGUUUAUAAAAACUUAAUGAUAGAUGCUCAUCAGAUUAGAAGUAGACAUGCUUCAUUAAAAAUCCUUACCCUGGAGCCUUAGUUGGUUUUUUGUAAAUUCACUCACCUUCUUGAUGGUAUGAGCAGCCACGGUGGGCUCUGGGCAGAGACUGUGUGGAUUCAUCCGGAGGACGAGCUGUUCAGGGCAUGAGGAAGAGGAGGGUGUGGGGCUGCUGACCCCUGCCUGAUGCCCUGUGGCCCAGCCUGUGGGCUGGAGGCUGCUCGGGCCCAGUGGAGGCUCUCUGACCUGGAGCCACGGUGUCUGCUUCUCCAAGUCCUACCUCCCCUCCGGACCUCAGCAUUCAUCUGAAAAGCAGCGGUGGUGCUGGCUCUUACACAGGGGUGUAGUGAGCCUCAAAUGCGGAGGUGUUUAGCAGAUGGUUAUGAAUUAUAAUAAAGGCAAA